This 815-nucleotide ribosomal RNA is filed under the name uncultured Campylobacterota bacterium. RNAcentral describes it as "bacterial SSU rRNA". It matches the Rfam family "Bacterial small subunit ribosomal RNA", at positions 61 to 889 of the family's 1533-position model. Lineage: Bacteria; Pseudomonadati; Campylobacterota. The record is from RNAcentral.
GUCGAACGGUAACAGAAGAGAGCUUGCUCUCUUGCUGACGAGUGGCGCACGGGUGAGUAAUAUAUAGAUAAUGUGCCUCUUAGUCUGGGAUAGCCAUUGGAAACGAUGAUUAAUACUGGAUACUCCUUCUAAUCUUAAGAUUAGUUGGGAAAGUUUUUCGCUAAGAGAUCGGUCUAUAUCCCAUCAGCUUGUUGGUAGUGUAAGAGACUACCAAGGCUAUGACGGGUAGCGGGUUUGAGAGGAUGAUCCGCCACACUGGUACUGAGACACGGACCAGACUCCUACGGGAGGCAGCAGUGAGGAAUAUUGCACAAUGGGGGAAACCCUGAUGCAGCAACGCCGCGUGGAGGAUGACGCAUUUCGGUGUGUAAACUCCUUUUAUAUGUCAAGAAAAUGACGGUAGCAUAUGAAUAAGCACCGGCUAACUCCGUGCCAGCAGCCGCGGUAAUACGGAGGGUGCAAGCGUUACUCGGAAUCACUGGGCGUAAAGGACGCGUAGGCGGGUUGGAAAGUCUGAUGUGAAAUCCUACAGCUUAACUGUAGAACUGCAUUGGAAACUUCCAAUCUAGAGUAUGGGAGGGGGAGAUGGAAUUANUGGNUGUAGGGGUAAAAUCCGUAGAUAUCACUAGGAAUACCGAAAGCGAAGGCGAUCUCCUGGAACAUUACUGACGCUNAGGCGUGAAAGCGUGGGGAGCAAACGGGAUUAGAUACCCCGGUAGUCCACGCCCUAAACGAUGAACACUAGUCGUCGGGAUGCUUGUCAUCUCGGUGAUGCACUUAACAGAUUAAGUGUUCCGCCUGGGGAGUACGGUCGC